UGGUCCUAACCCUAAAGUCAACUCGUAUUCAACUUACACAUGCAAGUUUCAGCACCCCCGUGAGAACGCCCUAAACCUCCUAUUUGGAGGAAGGAGCUGGUAUCAGGCACACUAUAUAGCCCAAAACACCUAGCUACGCCACAUCCUCAAGGAACCCUCAGCAGUGACCAAUAUUGAAAAUAUGCGACAGCAAGAUUCAGUUAGAGUACAGAGAGCCGGCAAAAUUGGUGCCAGCCGCCGCGGUUACACCAAUAGACUCUAGUUGACCCUAUCGGCGUAAAGCGUGAUUAAAGUUUUUUUCCCCCAUUAAAGAUGAAAUCCUCACUAAGCUGUGACACGCUUGUGCAUGAGAAAGCCAGAAACGAAAGUUACUUUAAUUUAACCCACUUGAAUUCACGACAGUUAAGACACAAACUGGGAUUAGAUACCCCACUAUGCUUAAUCGUAAACUUUAAAUUACAACAUAAACGCCAGGGAACUACGAGCAAAGCUUAAAACUCAAAGGACUUGACGGUACCCCACAUCCACCUAGAGGAGCCUGUCCUAUAAUCGAUAACCCCCGCUUUACCUCACCAUUUUUAGUUAGUCAGUCUGUAUACCUCCGUCGUCAGCUUACCACGUGAGCGAACCAUAGUAAGCCUAAUGCCAAUGCGCCAAUACGUCAGGUCAAGGUGCAACUAAAAAAAUGUGGAAGAGAUGGGCUACACUCUCUAAUUUAGAAAACACGAAAAACUUUAUGAAAUCUAGUUAGAAGGCGGAUUUAGCAGUAAAAAGAAACUAGAGAGCUCUUUUUAAUACGGCACUGGGGUGUGUACACACCGCCCGUCACCCUCUUCAAGACCCUAACUUCAUAGUAUCUAACUAAUUCCCUACUUUAAGAAGAGGUAAGUCGUAACAUGGUAAGUAUACCGGAAGGUGUGCUUGGAAA
Molecule: non-coding RNA, 928 nt
Filed under: Pithecopus megacephalus (large-headed leaf frog)
Lineage: Eukaryota; Metazoa; Chordata; Amphibia; Anura; Hylidae
Description: partial 12S ribosomal RNA
Rfam family: Bacterial small subunit ribosomal RNA
Source: RNAcentral